CAUCGCUCCUUGUAAAAAAUAAAUUAGGAGUACUGCCUGCCCAGUGACUAAGUUUAACGGCCGCGGUAUCUUGACCGUGCAAAGGUAGCAUAAUAAUUUGCUCUUUAAUUGAGGGCUAGUAUGAAAGGCAAGACGAAGGCAAGACUGUCUCCUUUUUAAAAAAAGAAAUUAAUAUUUUAGUGAAGAAGCUAAAAUAAAAACGCAAGACGAGAAGACCCUGUCGAGCUUAAGAAAAUUUUUAUAUUAAUUAAAAAAGAAAGCUAAUUAAAAAUUAUAAAAAAUAUACUUUAAUAUUAAAAAACAAUUUAAAUAAAAAUAUCUUUGGUUGGGGCAACCACGAAGAAAAAACAACCUUCGAUUCUUAAAUAAAAAUUUACAAAUUUAAAAGUUUAUUGAAACUUUAAAUGAUCCGGAAAUAACCGAACAAAGGAAAAAGUUACCGCAGGGAUAACAGCGUUAUUCUCUUUGAGAGUUCAUAUUGACAAGAGAGUUUGCGACCUCGAUGUUGGACCGGGGCAUCCAAGAGAUGCAGAAGUCUCUAAAGGUAGGUCUGUUCGACCUUUAAAGCCCUACGUGA
This 577-nucleotide ribosomal RNA is filed under the name Comactinia titan. RNAcentral describes it as "partial 16S ribosomal RNA". It matches the Rfam family "Bacterial large subunit ribosomal RNA", at positions 1814 to 2603 of the family's 2925-position model. The record is from RNAcentral. Lineage: Eukaryota; Metazoa; Echinodermata; Crinoidea; Comatulida; Comatulidae.